This 253-nucleotide ribosomal RNA is filed under the name uncultured bacterium. Its description in RNAcentral is "partial 16S ribosomal RNA". It matches the Rfam family "Bacterial small subunit ribosomal RNA", at positions 524 to 776 of the family's 1533-position model. The record is from RNAcentral.
UACGAAGGGGGCUAGCGUUGCUCGGAAUUACUGGGCGUAAAGGGCGCGUAGGCGGCACUGUUAGUCAGGCGUGAAAGUCCUGGGCUCAACCUGGGAACUGCGCUUGAUACGGCAGAGCUAGAGGAUGGAAGAGGGUCGCGGAAUUCCCAGUGUAGAGGUGAAAUUCGUAGAUAUUGGGAAGAACACCGGUGGCGAAGGCGGCUACCUGGACAGAAACUGACGCUGAGGCGCGAAAGCUAGGGGAGCAAACAGG